GAUGAAGAACGUAGCGAAAUGCGAUAAGUAAUGUGAAUUGCAGAAUUCAGUGAAUCAUCGAAUCUUUGAACGCACAUUGCGCCCGCCAGCACUCUGGCGGGCAUGCCUGUUCGAGCGUCAUUUCAACCAUCAAGCCCCCAGGGGCUUGUGCUGGGGCCCUGCGGCUGCCCGCAGGCCCUGAAAACCAGUGGCGGGCUCGCUAGUCACACCGAGCGCAGUAGCACAUCUCGCUCAGGGCGUGCGGCGGGCUCCUGCCGUGAAACCCCCCACUGUAACCCCAAAGGUUGACCUCGGAUCAGGUAGGAAUACCCGCUGAACUUAAGCAUACCAAUAAGCGGAGGA
RNAcentral lists this unclassified non-coding RNA (342 nucleotides) under soil metagenome. Its description in RNAcentral is "partial contains 5.8S ribosomal RNA, internal transcribed spacer 2, and large subunit ribosomal RNA". The stretch from base 1 to 120 matches the Rfam family "5.8S ribosomal RNA", at positions 35 to 154 of the family's 154-position model. The record is from RNAcentral.